AGUGAACGCUGGCGGUAGGCCUAACACAUGCAAGUCGAACGGCAGCACAGUAAGAGCUUGCUCUUACGGGUGGCGAGUGGCGGACGGGUGAGGAAUACAUCGGAAUCUACUUUUUCGUGGGGGAUAACGUAGGGAAACUUACGCUAAUACCGCAUACGACCUACGGGUGAAAGCAGGGGAUCUUCGGACCUUGCGCGAUUGAAUGAGCCGAUGUCGGAUUAGCUAGUUGGCGGGGUAAAGGCCCACCAAGGCGACGAUCCGUAGCUGGUCUGAGAGGAUGAUCGGCCACACUGGAACUGAGACACGAUCCAGACUCCUACGGGAGGCAGCAGUGGGGAAUAUUGGACAAUGGGCGCAAGCCUGAUCCAGCCAUACCGCGUGGGUGAAGAAGGCCUUCGGGUUGUAAAGCCCUUUUGUUGGGAAAGAAAAGCAGCAGGUUAAUACCCCGCUGUUCUGACGGUACCCAAAGAAUAAGCACCGGCUAACUUCGUG
This 492-nucleotide ribosomal RNA is filed under the name uncultured bacterium. RNAcentral's name for it is "partial 16S ribosomal RNA". It matches the Rfam family "Bacterial small subunit ribosomal RNA", at positions 29 to 507 of the family's 1533-position model. The record is from RNAcentral.